ACCAACCAACUAACUAACCGGACCUAAAACCGGAAACCCACGCUCACGGCUCACCCUAUUAAAUACUUUCUCUCUCCUCCCUUCCAUUUAUUUUUCUUUUUUUCUUUCAUUUUUAUCCAAAUUAAUUAGUUGCCUCUUCGAAAACAAACUACUAUGAGGAUAGAUAAUUAUAUUUCGACACGGCCUGUCAAUUACAUAAUUUGAGUAUUUUUUUAUG
RNAcentral lists this long non-coding RNA (217 nucleotides) under Linum usitatissimum (flax). Its description in RNAcentral is "long non-coding RNA (LUSI_LNC007779)". The record is from RNAcentral. Lineage: Eukaryota; Viridiplantae; Streptophyta; Magnoliopsida; Malpighiales; Linaceae.